This 218-nucleotide long non-coding RNA is filed under the name Elaeis guineensis (African oil palm). Its description in RNAcentral is "long non-coding RNA (EGUI_LNC021878)". Lineage: Eukaryota; Viridiplantae; Streptophyta; Magnoliopsida; Arecales; Arecaceae. The record is from RNAcentral.
AAGACAUGAUGUAUGCUCUCUAAAAAUAAAAAUAAAUAGAUUCACCAAAUAAAUAGAUGGCAAUGCAUGAUUUAAAAUGAUGCAAGAUAGUAAUUAAAAUGAUUCAAGAAUUAUAUACUUAGGACUACUCAUCAGCCUCUUCAGAUGUUUGGUAUACUUCGGAAUCUUCUUCUGAUUCUUCCUCUUCUUCUUCCUCUUCUUCCACCUCUUCCUCUUCU